RNAcentral lists this ribosomal RNA (414 nucleotides) under Campylobacter coli. RNAcentral's name for it is "partial 23S ribosomal RNA". It matches the Rfam family "Bacterial large subunit ribosomal RNA", at positions 1 to 434 of the family's 2925-position model. The record is from RNAcentral. Lineage: Bacteria; Pseudomonadati; Campylobacterota; Epsilonproteobacteria; Campylobacterales; Campylobacteraceae.
AAAGGUAAGCUACUAAGAGCGAAUGGUGGAUGCCUUGACUGGUAAAGGCGAUGAAGGACGUACUAGACUGCGAUAAGCUACGGGGAGCUGUCAAGAAGCUUUGAUCCGUAGAUUUCCGAAUGGGGCAACCCAAUGUAUAGAGAUAUACAUUACCUAUAUAGGAGCGAACGAGGGGAAUUGAAACAUCUUAGUACCCUCAGGAAAAGAAAUCAAUAGAGAUUGCGUCAGUAGCGGCGAGCGAAAGCGUAAGAGGGCAAACCCAGUGCUUGCACUGGGGGUUGUAGGACUGCAAUGUGCAAGAGGUGAGUUUAGCAGAACAUUCUGGAAAGUAUAGCCAUAGAGGGUGAUAGUCCCGUAUGCGAAAAACAAACCUUAGCUAGCAGUAUCCUGAGUAGGGCGGGACACGAGAAAUCC